UACGUAGGUGACCAGCGUUGUCCGGAUUUACUGGGCGUAAAGCGCGCGCAGGCGGUCGUUUAAGUCGAGUGUGAAAGCCCCCGGCUCAACUGGGGAGGGUCAUUCGAUACUGAUCGACUCGAAGGCAGGAGAGGGAAGCGGAAUUCCCGGUGUAGUGGUGAAAUGCGUAGAUAUCGGGAGGAACACCAGUGGCGAAGGCGGCUUCCUGGCCUGUUCUUGACGCUGAGGCGCGAAAGCUAGGGGAGCAAACGGG
This 253-nucleotide ribosomal RNA is filed under the name uncultured bacterium. RNAcentral's name for it is "partial 16S ribosomal RNA". It matches the Rfam family "Bacterial small subunit ribosomal RNA", at positions 524 to 776 of the family's 1533-position model. The record is from RNAcentral.